Molecule: ribosomal RNA, 298 nt
Filed under: uncultured bacterium
Lineage: Bacteria
Description: partial 16S ribosomal RNA
Rfam family: Bacterial small subunit ribosomal RNA
Source: RNAcentral
GCGACCGGCGCACGGGUGCGUAACGCGUAUGCAACUUGCCUCACAGAGGGGGAUAACCCGUCGAAAGACGGACUAAUACCGCGUACACUCCAUCUUGGGCAUCCAAGGUAGAGGAAAUGAAAUUCGCUGUGAGAUAGGCAUGCGUCCCAUUAGCUAGUUGGUGAGGUAACGGCUCACCAAGGCGACGAUGGGUAGGGGAACUGAGAGGUUGAACCCCCACACUGGUACUGAGACACGGACCAACUCCUACGGGAGGNANCAGUGANGAAUAUUGGUCAAUGGACNACAGCCUNAACCA